UAAUUUUUCCUCUCCUGUUCCUCACAAAAGGAUUUCCCUUCUUUCUCUCUCUUCAAAACCUUCGUCCCUUCUUUCUCACCAGAAACCCUAGUUCAUUCCCACCUAAGCUGAAUCUGCAACUUACAAACCAACACAAAAGAAUCACACUCUCUAUUUCUUUCUCACCUCUCUGCUAUCCUCACAGCCAUGGCUUAAGAACAUCAAUCAAAAUGCAAAAGCACAACCACACAAACCCUCAGACCCUUUUGGUCCCCGAUCCCUAAUUCAUUAUUGAGAGUGAUUACAAAUUACAAGGUAAUUAAAUUUGUAGACGCCAAAUACAUAUAGAAAAAACAAGGUAUGCAGCUUUUAUCUUUUGCUCUCUUUCAACCUUCGUUCUUCUGCUCUUCUGAAUUCGUAUUGUUUUAGAUCUUGCUUUUGAAAGCUCUCAGGGAUCUGUUAGGGUUUUUUAGAUAAAUCAAAAUCAAAUAUAUAAACCCUACGCUGAAACGAAAGCAAGACGAUGGUUUAUCCUGUAUAAGGAAAAACAAGAUAUCUCUUAUGAAACAAAUACAAGAUUCACCCAUUCACGGCUUCCUUCAAACAAAAAUCAGUGUUUACGAUGGCCAUGGUAGUCCUCUCAUUCUUGAUUUGGUACAUUUAGCGCAUUUAAUAAACUUCAACACUUAUCGUCCAUACUUAAUAGAUUCUUCAUUUUUGUUGGUUUUGACACAACAUAUUCCACCUUCAUGGUGUUUUUUCGGUAUCGCUGCGUUCUUUACAUUUAAUUUACUCACUUUUAAAAAGUUGUAUUCGUGUCAGUGUCGGUGUUUAUAUUUUUUAGCUUAUCUCACUAACAUGUGAUCACUGACAGGUGAGGGUGCUGAAACAGAUAGGAGUUUACUAUUGUGAGGUCCUUUAAUUGGAUCGGAUCCAUAAUGGACUCCAUUCACGGCAUUACCGGUCCAAGUGAGGGUUUUCCUCGGGUUCUUAUACAUUUCACUUUCGAUUUUCUUUAAUUUUCUAGUUGUUAAAAUAUUGUCUAUUCCUUUUCUAUAGAAUAUUCUCAGAGGAGAGCCCCUCAUGCUUUUGAUUUUGAAUUUGGUUUUUAAGGUUUGAUAUUCAUUUGAACAAUGCCAUUCUUGUUGAAGAUAAGCACAAAUCUAUUUAAUAAGGUAUUUACACUACAUGUAAAACAUAUACAGGUACUAAACAUGAUUUGUUGUUGGUUGGAGAACCCUAAUUUUGAAGCUUUUAAGUAUCACACUAACCACAUUUCUUUUCUCUAUGGUAUUUUCAGGCAGCCAUUUUGUUAGCAAACUUGUCAUUUAUCAUUGUCGGGUAAGCAACGGAAACAGAAGAGUUCUUCGAUGCGGUUAAUUUCAUUUCAUCUAUGCAGGAAACUCUCCGUCUCAUUGUCAAAGUUAGGGAAUCAUAAUGCUUUGGAAGUUGAUGCUAUGGACAAGAUUCCUUGUGGUUGACUUUUCAAAUGCCUUCCGUUUAUGUGCCUGAUCAAGAUCCGAAGCUAAGUAUUCAAUCUAAUUAUUAUUUUAAAAUCUAUUUUGUUUCCUUUUAAUUAGGGUUUGCCUUUAAAUAAAAUCUUGCCUACAUUCACUUUCUUCCUUCUUUUUUUGCCUUUGCCUUUGCCAGAUAUUUUCAGGGUCAACCCCCGACUACGAACCAUACCAAAUCAAAUUCAAAGCUAAUUGUUUAUCUAUUUAUUUUAAUGUCUUUUAUCUUUUAUUUUUGAUUAGGGUUAGCUAUGUCUGCCUCUGAACUGAUAAUGCACUCACCCUACUUUUGCUUGCUAUUUUUCCCACCUUCUCAGGGUUUGCCAACUGUCAAAGCUCGAAUAGUCGGUAACCCUAAACUUUAAUCUCCUUUAUUCUUCUGAUUUUAUUUAUUCUGUAUAUCAAACCCGCUAGCUUCAUUCCCCCUUUCCUCCGCUGGUUUCCUUUUCCCCUUCCCCAUAUUGCUAUUAUUACUGUUAAUAUUAAUUGUUGUGGUUCGUAAUCUUAGGGAGUGUAAGCCUUGAAUCAAUUUAGAAUAAUUAAUUACAAGAUAAAUAAUUGAAUUUAAUCACGUGAUUGUUGCACCCACGCACACUUUUUGGUAACCCCUUUUGUUGCCUGUUGCCUUGAUUUUUUGAAGAAUAGCCAUUGUCCCUCGAAUACGAGGAUACCUCAGCCGUGCUGCCUCGAUUAUGCAAAGGUCAUAAGACCCUAAUGAUGCUGCCUUCGAUACACCAAUAUGACCUCGACCCUCGGAAGUUGCCUACAAAAAGGCUGAGGUAUCCUCUGGUUGCCUACGAAAGGCUAUUCUAGUUCUUCCCUUAGACUACCUGCCUCUCUAUGGCAUGAGACAGUCUUAUGGCGAACGACAUUGCGACGACCCUUCAACCUCCAAAUGAAAGGCUUCCUGCCCUCUUAUGGCAAGGAUAGAUCCUUUCACCCUGAAAGGCUAAAAGAACAUAUUUUUUUACAAAUACUAAGGUAAUUUCUCCUAAUUGCCUUGCUCUGGCUAAAACUUUUUCAUAUUCUUUCUUAUAAACCUUCAAAAUGGCUACGCUCAUUUACGAGCUAAAGUCUGUAUUCACUUCUUCUACAUUUCUGAAAUCAAAGAGCAAAGCAAUUAAGAGCCCAUGGAUAACCAUGGAUGCAAAGGGUGCCUUACGCAUUUCCUUUGCAUAAAUUACCCCCCGAAUCCGUUUUCUUUUAAAAAGGUUUUUUCCUGUUCUUUUAGCCUUUCUAUUUAAUUUGGAUAAAAUAAAAGUCGGUGGCGACUCAUGCUUAACCGCGACAUUUUCGAUUAUAAAAGUCAGUUCACCGUAUUACAGAACUGGCGACUCUGCUGGGGAAUUAAAUAUUCGAUAAAAGAGGGGUUACCUUAAAGUUUAGGAUUCACCUUAAAUGUUUUAUAUUGUUUACUUUGUUUGCCUUAUUUUUGCAGGGCUGUUUUGGGUAUUUUGUUGUGUGAAAGAUCCUAACCCGGAUCUGAGUACCUUAGGUAAAUGGCAUGAGAUCAAUGAGACUGCACAGUGUAUACUGAUGUGGUUGAUCUGAUGGCCAUCGUUAGUGUGACACAUUGGUUUGUCCUAGUGUUCCUUGGGAUCCGACCUGAGGAAAUGCUUGGCUGCCGAGUGGUGUCAUUAAGCACUAAUUUGCCCUUAGAACCUUAGUCGAACUUGACUUUGGCCUAUUAGAAAUUUUUGAGGUAUGGAGGAGUUCUAGGACUUUUUAGAAACCUUAGAGAGUCCUCUAACCAGUGUCUUUGGUCUCAUAUUAAAAUUAUUUUCCAUGCUCCUUGUGUGUUCUUUUGAAAAAAGUGACUUUUUGUUGACUUUUGAAAAUGACCUAUAAUACUUUGGUCCAUAUCUCUCAAAUGAAGCAUUUUUAGCCUUGGCAUGUGAGAGACAAAAUUUUAGGGAAUCCAAUUUCCUUCAAAAUGAGCUUUGAAUGCAAAAUUUCUGAUGUUCCAUGUGAGAGUUAUGGCUGGUCAAAGUUCAGUUGACUUUCUCCCAUACAAACCCUAAUUUAGAAACUUUUUGAUUUGUUGAUUUUUGAUCUUUCCUUGAUGAACCAUGAUAAAUUCUUGAUCAAAUGGUUAAUUAUACUUCAAUAUGAGGAUUUUGACAAAGAAUCAAAAGUUUUGACUGUACUUUACCAUAGUUGACUUUUAGGUCAACCUAGUAGACUAUUGACUUUUUGGACAUUUGAGUGAUCAAUCCUUUAAGCUGAGACUUGAUACUUGUCAUAGAGGUAAUGUGAGAUGUUUUGAGCCAUAUGGGAUGCCUUGGAGCCAUUGAUUCAUUGAUUUUCCUUUGAACAAACCAAACCCUUGUUUCUGAGCCCUGUUUAGGAGAGUGUGUCUUGGAGCUUUGUGUAUUGAUUUGAACUUGAAUAGGAGAAAUAGUAUGGGAAAAUUUUGGGGUAUGACAGCUGCCCCUGUUCAAUUUUCUUAAACCUGAAGAUGUAGAGUGGUUUAUAGACCAGUCGGUAUCUGAAGGUCGAAGGGGAUUGAACACUAGAAUACCUAGAAAUUUGUACCAUCGGGGGAUGGCUUUAGAUGCCAUCCAGAUGAGCAUUAAGAUAAGUUAUGUAUCUGAACUUGAAUCAGUAAUUGUUUGAAUAUUGAUCGUGUCAUUACUGUUCGUAGUAGAUGAAUUAAAUCUUUGAGAAUUGGUCGUGUCAGCACCGUUCGUAGUAACUGAAUUAGAUUUAGGAAAUAGUUGAUCGUGUCCACACCAUUCGUGAUGAUGAGAUUAAAUCCUUGAAAGUUGAUCGUGUCAGUACCGUUCGUAAUACCUGAAUUAGAUCUUAGAAAGAUGAUCCUGUCUACACCGUUCGUGAUGAUAGAAUUAGAUUCUCUUGUCGUGUCAGCACCUUUCGUAGUGACUGUAUUAGAUUUUUGAAAAAUAAUUGAUCGUGUCCACACCGUUUGUGAUGACAGAAUUAGAUCUCUGACUGUGUCAGUACCGUACGUGGUAACUGAAUUAGAUCUUUGAAAAUGAUCGUGUCACCACCGUUCGUGGUAAAUAAAUUAGAUCUUCGAGCGUUUACCGUGUUAGUACCAUUCGUAGUAGAUGAAUUAGAUCUUGGAAAGUUGGAGAUUUCAUUCAUUUGUAUGUACCCGUAUUCUGCAAUAGGUGUAGCAAUUCGUAUAAUGUCAUGAUGCAUGCGUUAUGUAAUGAGUCCCUCAAAAUAAAUGAGAAACGUCGUAUGUUAUGCAUGAGUUUAUUAUGAGAUACUAUAUGCAAUGUAUGAGUAUGUAUGCGAUGUGUGGUCAUAAUUCAUAUCAUAUGAAGUAUUUUGAUCGGGACCCUGAUGUUUUUAUCUUGUCUGGAAGAUAUACGGCAGGGGAUUUAUGAUUUCUGCUUGGGGAUGAAUAGUGUCUUGACAUGCCCAGACUAGGGAUAAGAGGUAUUGAUAAACCGUGUUGGAGGAGAGCGAGGUGUCGGGGAACCGGCCAUGUUGAAGAUGUAAACUCUGUCGGAGAGCUAUGUUUUGUUGAUAGUAUUGAAGACAUCUUCUUAAUGACUACUCUGUGGGGAUUUAUUCAGAUUGUUGUCUUUGAAGUAGGACUUCUGGAUUACUUUAGACAUUGUCUCUUUGCCUUUCCUAUCUAAUGAACUAAUAGAUAUUUUUACGAAAGAAAAGAAAAGAUAAAUGAUAAUCAUGUUCAUAUGCAUAUGUUCAUUCAAAAUUAUCAUUGGACGUUUGCGUAUUCGAAAAGGAAAACUUGAAAAUAGAGAAUGUAACGCCCCGAAUUUAAUUAAUUGGUUAAUUACAUUAAUCAAGGAUUUAAUUAAUUGAAAUUGUCGAAGUUAGGAAUUUACCGGAAUUAAUCUAAGGAAUGUAAGUGAAUUAUUAUAUUGUUCGAGCGGUUGAAUGGAAAGUCGGAUUAAAUUCGUCGGUUAAUCGGAGAAAUAAUAUUAGGGAUAUUAUUAAUUUAUUGGAGUAUUUGUUUAAUUAACUUGGUUGGUGACAUUAGUAAUUUGGAGGUGUGAAUAUAGGUCCAUUAAGGAGUUUGUGAGAAUAAUAAUAAUAAUAUUGUGAAGUAAAAGGAAAAUAUUAGGUUUUGGCAUCAGUAAAACAAAAUAAGGGUUUCUAGAGAAAAGAAGUGAACGGGGAAGUGCUUGUGCAGAGAAGAGGAAAAGAAAAGAGAUACGAGAGUUGUGUCAGGAAGAAUGAAGUCGGAAGAAUUUUGCGAUGCUGGAAGCUUGGAUUCGACCGAAAUUUCAAUCGGAAGAACGAAUUGUAGAGCGAACUCCGAAUACAAGGUAAGGGUGGGGUUCUUGCUCUAUAAACGGGGAUAUGAUGGACCGUAUGUGGGGUUUAGGGAAUUUACUUAUCUCUUUGUGUUCGAUUAAUUGUUCUGUGAAAUUGUUAAAUUGAUUUUCUGGAAUUUGUAUGACAAUCAUGUUGCUGUAUGUGAUUAAUAAUUGAUUAUGUGAUGUCUGUGAUGAUUGGGAUGAAUUUGGAAUUUUGAUCGGUGGAGAUUUUCUGUGAUGUUAAUGAAUUAUGAUGUUGCAAUGAUAAAAUUUUCCGAAACUGGAAAUUGUUGUGUUAAACGAAUACCGAUACCGGAAAGAAAUUAAGUCUGGGAAAAGAAGAAAUUCAAAGGGACGGACGGCCCUUGGUGUUGGGGCAGGCGCCCUUCAUGCUAGGAAGAGGUCCCUUUUGGGGACGGUGGACAUAUACCAGGAACGGGGGUCCCAAAUAUAAAUAUAAAUAUAGUGUCACUUGUCGUUGGAUGUCAAUUAGUUGGUAUAAUUUUGGUACUGUUUUCAAUACUGUUUAUUCAUUAGAAUAUGAAUUGGUAAGUUAAGGUUAAUUCAUGGGAAUUAGUAGAAUUAGUACUGUAGCGUCACUUUUUAUAUGCUGUGUAGUGUUAUAUAAAAUAUAUAGUCUUUUAUAUUAAGUAUAUAAAAUUCAACUAGUACCCCAACUUCAAUUUAGGAACUAGUUUCUAUAAUAGAAUUUAUCACUACUAUGUAUACACUGUAUCGUUUAUAUUUUAGGGACCAAAUAAAGUAUGAUAAAUUAUUUUUUUUGAUAAAAAAUAAAGUAUGAUAAUUUGAUAGACCCAUGUUUCUAUGAUAUUUUAAAGAUUGGUAUCAUAUGUUUUAGAUUAAGAGAUUUGUUUCAAGUAUACCAAUAUAUGAUAUUUUAUUAAUAAUAAUUAAAUAUUGAAUAAUAAAUAUUAUUAGUAUGAUAUUUUUAUAAGUUGAGUUAGAGAUAAAUGUUUAUAUUACAUGGUUAACGUAAGUUAUUUUGAAUAGGGUUGUUAGAGUUGCCGAUAGAGUUGAUAGAGUUGUCAAUAGUCGUGUAGUAUUAACUAACCGAGUAGUAUAAUUUAGGCGAGUUCGGAAUUGAGUUGGUAUCCAUGAAUUUGGCGAGGUUAUGGCGAAAUGAAUAUUAUGCUAUAUUAUAAUUUUGUGAAUUGCAUCAAAAUAAUGUGACGUUUAAUUAUCAAUCAUUAUUGAUAUAUUUUGGCGAUGUAGGCAAAUGCCUUAUGCGACGUUGUAUUGUGAUUGAUUGUGGUUGUUGCAUUUCAUAGUGUCUCAUAAAUUGCAUGUUGUAGCGACGGCCUGGAUUGGCAAAAUAGCGACGAAGGCCUAUGCCUGUUUUUGAUGCCUCUUUUAUCUGGCAAUUGGCGAUGGGGGCUGAAGCCCUGGGUACCACAUGCAUGAUGCAUUAGUCGUGUCUCACCCAUUUGCUUUAUUGCGAUGUUGUGCGUGAUUAUGUGAUUUUGAUUUUUGAAUUGUUUGUGAUUGAAAUUGAGGCGUGAGAUAUAUAUAUUAUGACUUGAACCGUAAUAUACUCUUUAUCAUGACUUUAUUUAUAUUGUUUGAUAUCUCACCCUUUGCUUGUUUUCGCCGUUUCCUUUAUACUGGUAACGUGCAGGUGAUGCUAGUGAGUGAAGGAUUAGCUGUCGCGAGUUGAGUCGGUUGUCGCUCUGAUACGUAGCACUCGGGGGGAUAAAAUGAUUGUUUUUAUUAUUGUUUUAAUUGCUGAAUUUUAUUUAGUUUGAUUUAAAUUGUAACUUAAAGUUACAGUGCAAAGAUGCUACGACUUGAUUUAAAUAUUUAUGAAGUUUGAUGGUUCCGCUGCGAAGUAAAUUAUUUGAUGAGUUGUU
Molecule: long non-coding RNA, 7617 nt
Organism: Vicia villosa (hairy vetch)
Lineage: Eukaryota; Viridiplantae; Streptophyta; Magnoliopsida; Fabales; Fabaceae
Exons: 4
Source: RefSeq, a predicted model, not a curated record